This 1166-nucleotide long non-coding RNA is filed under the name Mus musculus (house mouse). RNAcentral describes it as "long non-coding RNA chr9:20614730-20615896". Lineage: Eukaryota; Metazoa; Chordata; Mammalia; Rodentia; Muridae. The record is from RNAcentral.
ACCCUCCCACGAGACAGGAGCUUUCUCUGUAGAAUCAGCUUGUAGGAGACUUUAAUGUGAUCCCCAAUGUUACUCACCAGAAAACAGGCUUGUGGGACAAAUCUGUUGAAUGCACCAACUUCCUUAAUCAGUUAUAUUUUAAGGCACAUAUGAGAAUCCAUAAUGGAAAAAAAUUCUUUGAAUUGACUCAAUUUUCAGGAGAUUUUACAUGUUCUACAAGGGGAGUUCUGCCUAUCAAAUGUACACCAUAAAAGCCUUUGAAUGUAAAAUUUGUGGGAAAGUCUCUGGGUAUUCUUUAAGUCUUAAUAGUCACCUGCAAACCCACACUGGGGAGAAACAUUAUGAAUGUAAAAUAUGUAAAAAAUUCUUCACUACUUCUUCAAGUCUAACUGAACACUUCAAACUAGAGAGAAACCCUAUAAAUGUAAGGAAUAUGGAAACACUUUUACUAAGCACUCAGGACUUUCUUCACGUGUAUAAACACAUUCGGGAAAGAAGUCUUGUGUAUGCAAGUUAUGUGGGAGAUCCUUCAUGAUUCCUUCAAAUAUGACUGAGCAUUUCAGAAUUCAUACUGGAGAGAAACCCUACCAAAGUAAAGAAUGUGGGAAAGCCAUCCAUGCAUCUUCAUAAGCAUCUAAGAACACAUACCAGAGAAACCCUAUAAAUGUGAGAAGCGUGGGAAAGCCUUCCAUACCUCCUCCUACCUACGGAAACAUGUAAGAACUCACAGUGCAGAGAAACCUUAUGAAUGUAGGGAAUGUGGCAAAGCCUACAAAAGGUGUUAUCUAUUGCAUGAACAUUUAAAAACUCACAUGGUAGAGAAACCCUUUGGUUGCAAGGUAUGUUGGAAAGUCUUUUGAACGUUCUGCAUGCUGUAAUAAGCACAUUCAUCCUCACAGCGGAUGAAUACUUACUUAUAAAUGUAAGUACUGUGGCAAAGACUUCACUGUCUCCUCAAGUCUAAUUGGACAAACAAGAGCACACUGGAGAGAGGCCCUAUAAAUGUAAAGAACGUGGGAAAGCCUCUACCUCAGCCUCAUGUCUGAUUGUUCAUAAGAGAACUCACACUGGAGAGAAACCCUAUGAAUGUAAGGAGUGUGGGAAAGCUCACAAGAGGUGUUACCUACUGACUGGACAUAUAAAGACUCACAUGGGGGAAAAGCCUU